Molecule: ribosomal RNA, 301 nt
Filed under: uncultured bacterium
Lineage: Bacteria
Description: partial 16S ribosomal RNA
Rfam family: Bacterial small subunit ribosomal RNA
Source: RNAcentral
CAGUCGCCACGGUAAUACGUAGGGUGCAAGCGUUAAUCGGAAUUACUGGGCGUAAAGCGUGCGCAGGCGGUUGUGUAAGACAGGUGUGAAAUCCCCGGGCUUAACCUGGGAACUGCGCUUGUGACUGCACAGCUAGAGUAUGGCAGAGGGGGGUGGAAUUCCACGUGUAGCAGUGAAAUGCGUAGAGAUGUGGAGGAACACCGAUGGCGAAGGCAGCCCCCUGGGCCAAUACUGACGCUCAUGCACGAAAGCGUGGGGAGCAAACAGGAUUAGAUACCCGUGUAGUCCCUGUCUCUUAUAC